This is a long non-coding RNA of Telopea speciosissima, 357 nucleotides long. RefSeq lists it as uncharacterized. The transcript has 2 exons. Lineage: Eukaryota; Viridiplantae; Streptophyta; Magnoliopsida; Proteales; Proteaceae. The record is from RefSeq and is a predicted model, not a curated record.
UUUUGAAGGUCUUGAUGAUAUUACUGUUGCUGGCAACUAUCAAUAUGUUGAAGAUUCUUCUGGUACUGUAUGUGAUCUUAUGAGAAAUUACAUCUGUCAAGUCCAUUCACAUCCUCAAGAGUUUGAUGACUUUGAUUUUGACAAACUGUUUCCCAAUAAGGAACGCGACAGUUCAGAAGGUGCAGAUGGGUCCUGAAUGAUGUGUAUAUCAAAAAGAUGAAGGCUCUUCUGCUCUAUACGUGCAGUUAUGAAGCAUAUGUUUCAGUUAUAGCCUGUUAUAUAAGAAGUUCCUACCUACUAUAGUGGUUCUAGACCUGCAUAUCUUUUAAUAAACAACAUGAAUGAAUCCAACUAAGA